This 460-nucleotide ribosomal RNA is filed under the name uncultured bacterium. RNAcentral's name for it is "bacterial SSU rRNA". It matches the Rfam family "Bacterial small subunit ribosomal RNA", at positions 32 to 507 of the family's 1533-position model. The record is from RNAcentral.
GGACGACGCUGGCGGCGUGCCUAACACAUGCAAGUCGAACGGGGUGAUGACUUCGGUUAUUACUUAGUGGCGAACGGGUGAGUAACGCGUGAGAAACCUGCCUUUCAGUGGGGGACAACAGUUGGAAACGACUGCUAAUACCGCAUAAUGUUAUUUAGGGGCAUCCCUGAAUAACCAAAGAUUUAUUGCUGAAAGAUGGUCUCGCGUCUGAUUAGCUAGUUGGUGAGGUAACGGCUCACCAAGGCGACGAUCAGUAGCCGGUCUGAGAGGAUGAACGGCCACAUUGGGACUGAGACACGGCCCAAACUCCUACGGGAGGCAGCAGUGGGGAAUAUUGCACAAUGGGGGAAACCCUGAUGCAGCGACGCCGCGUGAGCGAUGAAGUAUUUCGGUAUGUAAAGCUCUAUCAGCAGGGAAGAAAAUGACGGUACCUGACUAAGAAGCACCGGCUAAAUACGUG